Non-coding RNA from Pelobates cultripes (western spadefoot toad), 344 nucleotides. NCBI's taxonomy places the organism in Eukaryota, Metazoa, Chordata, Amphibia, Anura, Pelobatidae. The record is from the annotation of a GenBank genome assembly.
GUAUUCAUUACAGUUAGAUCUUCAGCAAUUGUCAGGUGAGCAAUGUUUCUUCUUUACUUGAGUUUCAGAGUCUCUUAAGAAGUUUGGGAAGAGCCGUUGAUAUAAGAGAAGGCAAUUAAAAUUGAGAGAGAAUCCAUAACCCGAUAAAAAUAAAUGGCUGAUGUGAAUUUAUAGAGAUAUUGAAAUAUGUGAGAUGUGGGGAAUUAUUUUGAUUGGUCUAUCAUGUGCAGGCUGAGGAUUAUUUGAGAGGACAUCCUUUUAACAAGACAAGUCAGUUUCUUUUCUUCUUUAAAUGUAAUGCAUUGUUUCCUCCAUAAUUGUGGGUUAUUGCAUUGUUGUUGUGG